Molecule: ribosomal RNA, 639 nt
Filed under: uncultured bacterium
Lineage: Bacteria
Description: bacterial SSU rRNA
Rfam family: Bacterial small subunit ribosomal RNA
Source: RNAcentral
CGCGGCCUAUCAGCUUGUUGGCGGGGUAACGGCCCACCAAGGCAUCGACGGGUAGCUGGUCUGAGAGGACGAUCAGCCACACUGGGACUGAGACACGGCCCAGACUCCUACGGGAGGCAGCAGUGGGGAAUCUUGCGCAAUGGGCGAAAGCCUGACGCAGCAACGCCGCGUGGGGGAUGAAGGCUCUCGGGUUGUAAACCCCUUUCAGCAGGGACGAAUCAAGACGGUACCUGCAGAAGAAGCCCCGGCUAACUACGUGCCAGCAGCCGCGGUAACACGUAGGGGGCAAGCGUUGUCCGGAUUUAUUGGGCGUAAAGAGCUCGUAGGUGGCUGAGUAAGUCGGAUGUCAAAUCCCCAGGCUCAACCUGGGAUCCCAUCCGAUACUGCUCUGGCUAGAGUCCGGUAGGGGAGCGUGGAAUUCCUGGUGUAGCGGUGAAAUGCGCAGAUAUCAGGAGGAACACCAGCGGCGAAGGCGGCGCUCUGGGCCGGUACUGACACUGAGGAGCGAAAGCGUGGGUAGCAAACAGGAUUAGAUACCCUGGUAGUCCACGCCGUAAACGUUGGGCACUAGGUGUGGGACCUAUUCAACGGGUUCCGUGCCGUAGCUAACGCAUUAAGUGCCCCGCCUGGGGAGUACGG